This 483-nucleotide ribosomal RNA is filed under the name uncultured bacterium. RNAcentral describes it as "partial 16S ribosomal RNA". It matches the Rfam family "Bacterial small subunit ribosomal RNA", at positions 28 to 523 of the family's 1533-position model. The record is from RNAcentral.
GACGAACGCUGGCGGCGUGCUUAACACAUGCAGGUCGAACGAUGAUCAGGAGCUUGCUCCUGUGAUUAGUGGCGAACGGGUGAGUAACGCGUGAGUAACCUGCCCCUGACUCUGGGAUAAGCGUUGGAAACGACGUCUAAUACUGGAUACGACUGCCGGCCGCAUGGUCUGGUGGUGGAAAGAUUUUUUGGUUGGGGAUGGACUCGCGGCCUAUCAGCUUGUUGGUGAGGUAAUGGCUCACCAAGGCGACGACGGGUAGCCGGCCUGAGAGGGUGACCGGCCACACUGGGACUGAGACACGGCCCAGACUCCUACGGGAGGCAGCAGUGGGGAAUAUUGCACAAUGGGCGAAAGCCUGAUGCAGCAACGCCGCGUGAGGGAUGACGGCCUUCGGGUUGUAAACCUCUUUUAGUAGGGAAGAAGCGAAAGUGACGGUACCUGCAGAAAAAGCACCGGCUAACUACGUGCCAGCCGCCGCCGUAA